Molecule: non-coding RNA, 86 nt
Filed under: Ferrimonas marina
Lineage: Bacteria; Pseudomonadati; Pseudomonadota; Gammaproteobacteria; Alteromonadales; Ferrimonadaceae
Description: c-di-GMP sequence
Rfam family: c-di-GMP-I riboswitch aptamer
About the family: GEMM was predicted in a large-scale screen for bacterial structured RNA regulatory elements.
Source: Rfam by way of RNAcentral
AUGUUGCGCUGCCAAACCAGUUGUGAGGCUGGGACGGAAAGCCACGGGUCUCCAACCGAUGAAAAGGAGAUAGCCGGGUUGCACAA